Acomys russatus (golden spiny mouse) is the source of this 110-nucleotide small nuclear RNA. The record is from RefSeq and is a predicted model, not a curated record. Lineage: Eukaryota; Metazoa; Chordata; Mammalia; Rodentia; Muridae.
GUGGUCACUUCAGCAACAACACAUAUACUGAAAGUUGUAAUGAUAGAGAGAAGAUUAACAUAGCCCCUGUGCAAGUUUGACACAGAAGUGAUGAACCAUUCCAUAUUUCU